RNAcentral lists this ribosomal RNA (253 nucleotides) under uncultured bacterium. Its description in RNAcentral is "partial 16S ribosomal RNA". It matches the Rfam family "Bacterial small subunit ribosomal RNA", at positions 524 to 776 of the family's 1533-position model. The record is from RNAcentral.
UACGAAGGGGGCUAGCGUUGCUCGGAAUCACUGGGCGUAAAGCGCACGUAGGCGGAUUGCUAAGUCAGGGGUGAAAUCCUGGAGCUCAACUCCAGAACUGCCUUUGAUACGGGCGACCUUGAGUCCGGGAGAGGUGAGUGGAACUGCGAGUGUAGAGGUGAAAUUCGUAGAUAUUCGCAAGAACACCAGUGGCGAAGGCGGCUCACUGGCCCGGUACUGACGCUGAGGUGCGAAAGCGUGGGGAGCAAACAGG